UGUAAGUAGAGUUGAUAUAAAGCGAAACUGCGAACGGCUCAUUACAACAGAUAUAAUUUACUUGUUAUAUUCCUUAUAAACGGAUAACUGCGGUAAUUCUGGAGCCAAUACGUGCACAAAGUCGCAUUCAGCAAUGAGUGUGAUGCAUUUAUCGGAGCAAAACCUUUCCUGGUUCUAUGCUAACUCUGGAUAACACUGCCUAUCGCAUGACCUAGUGUCGGCGAAGUUACAUUCAAGUAUCUGCCUUAUCAACUUUCGAUGGUAGUGUAUUGGACUCCCAUGGUGUUGACGGGUAACGGAGAAUCAGGGUUCGACUCCGGAGAGGGAGCCUUAGAAACGGCUACCAUAACUAAGGUUAGCAGCAGGCGCGCAACUUAUCCCCUGUUCAUUGAACGAGAUAGUGACGAGAAAUAACAAGUCCGUUCUCUAUGAGGUCGGACAUUGGAAUGGA
RNAcentral lists this ribosomal RNA (451 nucleotides) under unidentified nematode Sourhope farm. RNAcentral describes it as "SSU rRNA". It matches the Rfam family "Eukaryotic small subunit ribosomal RNA", at positions 58 to 518 of the family's 1831-position model. The record is from RNAcentral. Lineage: Eukaryota; Metazoa; Nematoda.